This 1210-nucleotide long non-coding RNA is filed under the name Lathyrus oleraceus (garden pea). RNAcentral describes it as "Pisum sativum (pea) long non-coding RNA (PSAT_LNC029632)". Lineage: Eukaryota; Viridiplantae; Streptophyta; Magnoliopsida; Fabales; Fabaceae. The record is from RNAcentral.
CGUUACUACGCAAUCUACCGGAUGCUCGACCUUUGGAGACUUACUCGCCUGUAGUAGAAGGAGUAAACGUGUUGCUUUGGGUUUUAGGUUUUGUUUGCGUUGUAGGAACGCGCAUGCAAAAAGGAAGUCCUAGGCGGAGGAACAGUGCUACCUAAAUUGGCAUGCAAACGGGAGACUAUGCGAAGCCUCGCAUCCUAUGGGGAAACAAUCACAUCACACAAAACAUAUAUCUUGAAAUAGAAAAAAUGCCACCAAGGGGCUCAAACAUUGCCUCCUAUCGAGGUCUUCCAGCUAAGAAACAGUAGAAAUAAAAGGGAAGAAGUAAAAUACCACACGGAUCAAGAUCCGAAGUUACAGCAAUUAAAGGAUAAGCGACCCUGAGAUUCUCCCAAGCUGAUGCCAUCAAAGAAAACCAAUCAGUACGGGAAAUCGGAAUAAACCUCCGGAGGGUAUCCCUGCGAGAAUAUGUGAGCCCUCACAAAAACUCAACAAAAGGGGUUAGGCAAACAGGAUGAAAUCAAAAGAUAACAAGGCCAUGGCAACACAAAGAACAGGUUAGAACAAAACGGAAUAAAAGCAGAUACUGUCACAUUCGCGACUGCUUCGCCUAGCGAAAGCCUAGCGAAGCUUCGCUGCGUGCUCGCCUAGCGAAGCGGCUAGCGAGCACCUGCGGGAUUUGGAUUUCCCAUUGGUACCUGCACGAUGUUAAAGAUUCCAGAUCCUAUGGCAUUCACCUCAUAAACGAAAUUGUUAAACAGUCAAGGCAUAAAUCACAUAUUCAUACACAAAUAUAACCCUGUGGGCCAAACCUGAGGUUACCUCAUAUAUUCAGUAUUCAAUCCGAGGCAUAGAGUAAUAGGAACAGAGGCAUACCUGAUGAGAGACCUGUUAAAAUUGGAAGACAAGGCCGGAUUGGCGAAGCAACGUUUAGGGUUUGCGUGAGGCGGAAUGAGCUUCUCAGGGCUGCCCGAAGGUUGCUGCAGAGUAGUUCCUAGGUUUGAAACUCCACGUGAACUCCAAGUCUAUUUCUCAGGGAAUUUCCAAGUGUCUGAAACCCUACUGAAACUCUUAUAUUUAUAGCUGAUUUUCGUGGACUUGUGGGCUUGGAAUGAGGGAGACCCAAGUCCAAAAUAAUUUGUUAUAUUUUAAUUAUUUAUUUAUUUUUCUUUUUUUUUUGGAAAAAAUGAAGGGUAAAUUUUGGGGUAUUACA